AUCCCCAAUGAAACCAAGCUUACUAUAUGUAUGGUAGAAAAGACAGAAAAGACAACCCCUUCUCCUCUCCCCUGAGCACAUCAAGGGUUCACCUGUGUGACCCAGGCGGCUGUUCUUAUUCCUAGACUCAUUACUUAAAAUAGUCUCUCUUGGCAAGUUUCUGAUGGAAAGCAGUCUCCAAAAGUCCUUUGACACUUCUAUUCCCUGAAGAUCUCACAAGAGUCUGGUGUUACCGAACACAAAUGUGUCAAUUCCUAGAUAGCUACACAGAAAGACAAUGAGAGAGCACUAGAAGGGUCCAAUGAGGUGUAUAAAAGCUUAUUCAGAAAUGAAGAUUGAGGGGAACCAAGAUGAAAGAGUAAAGCAGAGAAGCUUGAGGUCAGGAUGAGAAUCCCCUCCAACCAAUAUUAAAAUAGCAUCACAAAAUGAAUAUAAGAGUGAAAGAACCAAAAAGGAGACAGAGAGAAACAACUUUCAAGAAAAGAAAGACAUAAAAGAUGAAGAAAGAGAGUUUCAGAAGUGAAGCAGAUGGAGAGAGGAGGCUGUACAAAUAUUUGAAGGAACGCAAGUGCUGGCAAUCUUGGUGAGCUCCCUCAUGAUGCAAAGUAUCUAUCAGAAGAAGGGGGAAAAGAAUUCAAACAAAAUGAAGCCAUCUCCAAAGACCAGGAGGAGCAGAAGCCAUCAGUGGCAUGGGGAAUCAAUGAGGCAAAAAUGAUUGGCCUAUGAAAAUCAAUAAGGCCACAGACCACUGGCCUAGACUCCCUCCUGUAUUUGUGGUUGAUUAGGUCAGUCGUGUUUGUCCUCACCCAGGCUGCUGACCUUGACAUAUUGCCGCGCUUACCCCAACCAGAAAAGCAUUCACAAAUAAUUGUAGGUGGCAGGAAACAGAAGCCAUCCACUGAGGCCAGAAAAUCUGAGACAGCUCUGUGUCUGUGUGGCACUGGGCAAGUCUUUCCACCUCUCCUUUUCCUCUUCCCUCCGUGUCUAACAUUUCAAAUGAACGACAGCAUGAGGGACUCCGGCUUCUAACCCGGAAGACUUCCACAACCUGGCUAUGACUUAGUAGGGAAGUAGAGUGGCUCACAGCUUAGGAAGGUGGCUUAGCUAGGGAUCAUUAAUGCUUGUAGUGUGCCAGGAAGCACAGAGAGACAAGCAAAACUGAGCGCACCCUCCAGGAACGCAGAUUCUCAUAAGAGAGACAACUUGUUCGUGUAUAUGGGGUUCAGAACAUCCUAAGGAAAGCUACCUCAGAAAAUCGCACUAGGAUAUUUGGGACACUUCAUAUGUAGGAAACAAUCAAAAUAGAUAAAAUAGACUCUUGGAGGGGAAGCCAGGGACCUCUAGGGAAAACAGGAAAGAACUGCAGUUGAAAGAAAAUGGUCCUUGAACUGAGUCUUGAAGGAAACCAAGGAAGGUAAAGAAGAGGGAAUUCUAGGCAAGGAAUAUGGUCACUUAUUAUUCAGCCAUUUCAGUCCCAUCCAACUCUUUGUGACCCUAUUUGGAGUUUUCUUGGCAAACAUUUUGGAGUGGUUGGCCACUUCCUUCUCUAGCUCAUUUUACAGGUGAGGAAAUUGAAGUAAACAGGAUUAAGUGACUUGCCCAGGGUCACAUAGCUAGUAAGUAUCUGAGGCUGGACUUGACACAUGCAGAAAGCAGCAAAGACAGGAUUUGAACCCAGGUGUGCUGAUUUCAGAAUCAGUAUCUCAAUGACUUGCCCCAGAGUUAUCCUAGAAGAGCUAGGAUUGGGAACCAAGCCCUCAGAAUGCAGACUAUUCUAGUAGUCAGGCUACCACCCUACAGUUACAUUGCUCAAAGGGAUCCUUUGAAUCAUUGUAGGGGCCAGUUCCCCCACCACCAUUACCCUGUCUCUGAAUGCCUAAGUUUAAAGUAGGAAACCUCAAAGGGCCUUCCAGCUUGAACACUCAGAAGACCAUGAAUUCCCAGCCAAAGGUCCCCCUCUCAAUCAGCAUUCUCAGGGGUUUGCUUCAAGAAAGAACCCUAGCUUUCAGCCAACACCACUUUCUUCUCAUUUGAUGCUGCUGGGCUCCUGUCUUCUUUCUGUUCUCUGGCUAAGGCCUUGCCUUGGCUCUUCCUACCUUGGGGAGGUCUAGCUCAGUGGACUCAACUUCUUUUCAGGAGCACACAAAUAUAUCCAUCCAGCCCCAGAAUUCUCCAGGGCUCUCUGUUCCCAUCCUGAUGACCCUUUCAUCCCUUUGAUCCUCCUUUUGUCCCCACCUCCAGAGCUCCAGUAUUUGUCCCCAACCCAGACCACUCUUCUUCCUGACAAUUUAGCCCCCAUUUCCUUCCCACUUACAGGGUAAAUGUGGACUUUUGGGUCUCAGGAAAACUGCCAACCAAGAAGGUCUUUAUCUCACACAGUUUGGGCUGCUUUCCUGGAAGGAGAAUAGGAGAAUUGUCCUGCAAUGAUUUAUUUUGGUUUCCUUUCUGAGGCAGACAGAUGAGGCAACAGAAAUAAUCUCCUUUGCACAUAGUAGAGAAAAAAGUAGAGGUUCAAAUCCUAUAUUUCAAAUAACUCACUGUGUACUCUUGGACAAGUCCCAUACUCACUCGCUCACUCUGCCUCCUUUCUCUCUGUUGCUCUCUCUGUGUCUGUGUCUCUGUCUUUCUAUCUGUCUCUCUCUCUGUCUCUUUGUCUCUCUCUCCUCUCUGUCCCUGUCUCCUUUUUCUCCCUCCCUCUCUCUCUUCUCUGUCUGUCCAUCUGUCUGUCUCUCCCCUUUGAUUAUAAAUUCCUUGAGGGCAAGGACUGGUUUUUUUGCCUCUUUUGUAUCUGUAGGGCUAACCACAAUCUUGGCAUAUAGUAUGUGCUUAAUUAACAUUCAGUGAUUGAUUUUUUAAGCCCUCACUUUCUGUCGUAGACUCAAUACUGUGUAUUUAUUCCAAGGCAGAAGAGUAUUGAGGACUAGAAAAUGGGGGUUAUGUGACUUGCCCAGGAUCACACUGCUAGGAAGUGUCUGAGGUCACAUUAGAACUCAGAACCUCCUAUCUCUAGGCCUGGCUCUCUAUCCACUGAGCCACCUAGCUGCCCCGAAUUGAUUGAUUUUUCAUAGAAAUGUGACUUUAGUAGCUUAAUAAACAUAGGCGCUAAAUAAGUAUUCCUAGACUUUAACCUCUCUGAGCCUUAGUUUUUCCAAUUGUAAAAAUGGAGAUAAUUUACUUUGGGAUUGUUGUAAGGUUCAAAUGAGAUGAUGUACAUAAAGGUCUUUGCAAACCUCAACGAAUCAACAAACAUUUAUACGCUACUUUGUACCAGGUACUGUACUGCGUGCUGAAUGAAAUUAUUACUCAAUAUGGGACAGUAGGGAAAGAGUACCAAGGCACAGCAAGCUGGGUGGGGGGGUACUAAGGGGAAGGCACUCCAGAGAGAAGGAAAACUUGCCUGAACCUGACCUUUCUUAGAAGAAAAGCUGCUAUAAACACAAUGCUAUUAAGAACCACAGAAUGGGGCACUUGUUGAAGAGAAGAAAUGGGUCACCCAAAGUAACCAGGGGAGUAAAUGCCUUUCCUCUGGUUGGUUUCUGAGCUGAAAUGUAAUCAUCAGGUAUGAUUGAACCAGCAAAAGGAAUCCUUCCUUACCCACAAAUAUCAGGCCUAAGAGUUUCUCCUAGGGUUCUCCUUCUCUCCCUGCCUCUCCUUCCUGGGCUGAAGUUCUCAUCAAUAUAGGAUAGCUUUUUAUCUUAAAAUAUUUUAUGGGGUUUGAGCCACCUUUUCUUGUGGCCUCAGGGACAAGAAUGACCCAGGAUGAAAAGGUAAGGGGGGUGGAGAUAAGGUGGAGUCUCCACAUUUAUGAUCCCUUGAAGUAUUUUUAAAAUUUGAAGCUUUGGCUUGACCCAACAAUUCCUUAGCAGGUGCUGGGCUUGUGGCAUAGUGUUACUGACUUUAUCAUCCCAUGACUUCAUUCAGACAGUCAGCCUCUUUGGAAAGUUUCCUUUUAUAUUUAGGAUAACUUCUAAAAGUAGAGAUCUAAGGGGGGAAAUAGCUGAUGUGUGGGGUUUCUUUUCUUUUUUUUUUAAGCAAAAAUGUAAAGCUAUCAAGCCUGCAAAUUAGGAAGAUGGCUUUGGAAAUGUUAUGAAGGAUUUAAUAAAACAUAAAGAGUCUAGAGUCAGGGAGAUUAGUUGAAAGGCUGUUAGAAUAAUUUUAGGUGUGAGAUAAUGAAGGCCUAAACCAGAGUGGUGGCAGCAGAGGUGGAAAUGAGGGCAUUGAAGCGAGAUAUCUUGGAGGCAAAAUCGACAGGUCUUGGCAUUUGAUUGGAUGUCAGGGUGGUGAGGGAGGCAGGAGUCCAAGAUGAAGUCAAGGUUUUGAGCCUGGGUGACUGGGAGGAUGAUGGCUCCAUCAGCAGAGAGAGGACAAGAUUGUCAAAGGAAAUGAUGAGUUCAAUUUGGGACAAUGUUGAGUUCAUGUCAAAUGUCACACCGGCACUGCAGCUAUAGAUUUGGAACUCAUCUACACAGAGGUGAUAAUUGAAGCCAUGGAAGUAGAUGAGACUAGUUAGGGAAAGACUCUCAAAGAAGCAACAUCGUAGAGAAGGAAGGAGGGAGGGAGAGAAAGAGAAGUGGGUGGGAGAGAGGGAGGGAGAGGGAGAGAGAGAGGGAGAGGAAAAGAGAGAGGGAGAGGGAGAGGGAGAGGAAGAG
This is a non-coding RNA of Monodelphis domestica (gray short-tailed opossum), 4649 nucleotides long. The record is from RefSeq and is a predicted model, not a curated record. Lineage: Eukaryota; Metazoa; Chordata; Mammalia; Didelphimorphia; Didelphidae.